AUGAAAUGACUCUCGGCAACGGAUAUCUCGGCUCUUGCAUCGAUGAAGAACGUAGCGAAAUGCGAUACUUGGUGUGAAUUGCAGAAUCCCGUGAACCAUCGAGUCUUUGAACGCAAGUUGCGCCCGAAGCCAUUAGGUUGAGGGCACGCCUGCCUGGGUGUCACAC
This 166-nucleotide ribosomal RNA is filed under the name Vigna reticulata. RNAcentral's name for it is "5.8S ribosomal RNA". It matches the Rfam family "5.8S ribosomal RNA". Rfam says of the family: 5.8S ribosomal RNA (5.8S rRNA) is a component of the large subunit of the eukaryotic ribosome. It is transcribed by RNA polymerase I as part of the 45S precursor that also contains 18S and 28S rRNA. Lineage: Eukaryota; Viridiplantae; Streptophyta; Magnoliopsida; Fabales; Fabaceae. The record is from RNAcentral.